This 471-nucleotide ribosomal RNA is filed under the name Triticum aestivum (bread wheat). RNAcentral describes it as "partial small subunit ribosomal RNA". The record is from RNAcentral. Lineage: Eukaryota; Viridiplantae; Streptophyta; Magnoliopsida; Poales; Poaceae.
AUGGAAGUCGACGCAGACAGCUGCAAGGCGCCCGCCGACUCCGAGCCUGCCGACGAGCGCGUGGCGCGGCGCAAGUCGGCGAUCGGCUUCGGGCUGGCCGUGUCGGCGGCAUGCGCGACAGCAGGCGGCGCGCUGCUGGCGUACCUGCCCGGAGUGUCCAUGGGCGCGGCCUACGGGCUGGGCUUCGGCGGCCUCCUCUUCCUGCAGGCCUUCGCCUUCUUCCUCGCUCCCAUGCUGUGGCCGGUGGAGCACAUGACUAAGACGAUGUUCUCGUGGAUGUUCAAGAUCGCGAACUCCCUGAGCAUGCUGUUCUGGGGUGCAUUGAUCAUUGCACUGUUUGACAAGGUCGCCGCUGCGACCGCCGUCAUGCUAGUCGCCGACGUUGCCGGCGCAGCGUCCCUCGGCUGGUUGCUCUCCAUGAAUGAAGGUAUCUCCGCGCAGGACUCGUCACCAGUCGAUGAUAUGGUUUAG